This 545-nucleotide ribosomal RNA is filed under the name Pandoraea sp. 3T-N6. RNAcentral describes it as "bacterial SSU rRNA". It matches the Rfam family "Bacterial small subunit ribosomal RNA", at positions 945 to 1494 of the family's 1533-position model. Lineage: Bacteria; Pseudomonadati; Pseudomonadota; Betaproteobacteria; Burkholderiales; Burkholderiaceae. The record is from RNAcentral.
AUUAAUUCGAUGCAACGCGAAAAACCUUACCUACCCUUGACAUGUACGGAAUCCUGCUGAGAGGUGGGAGUGCUCGAAAGAGAACCGUAACACAGGUGCUGCAUGGCUGUCGUCAGCUCGUGUCGUGAGAUGUUGGGUUAAGUCCCGCAACGAGCGCAACCCUUGUCCUUAGUUGCUACGCAAGAGCACUCUAGGGAGACUGCCGGUGACAAACCGGAGGAAGGUGGGGAUGACGUCAAGUCCUCAUGGCCCUUAUGGGUAGGGCUUCACACGUCAUACAAUGGUCGGUACAGAGGGCUGCCAAACCGCGAGGUGGAGCUAACCCCAGAAAACCGAUCGUAGUCCGGAUCGCAGUCUGCAACUCGACUGCGUGAAGCUGGAAUCGCUAGUAAUCGCGGAUCAGCAUGUCGCGGUGAAUACGUUCCCGGGUCUUGUACACACCGCCCGUCACACCAUGGGAGUGGGUUUUGCCAGAAGUAAGUAGCCUAACCGUAAGGAGGGCGCUUACCACGGCAGGAUUCAUGACUGGGGUGAAGUCGUAACAA